Molecule: ribosomal RNA, 1013 nt
Filed under: Colletotrichum sp. 2V2
Lineage: Eukaryota; Fungi; Ascomycota; Sordariomycetes; Glomerellales; Glomerellaceae
Description: SSU rRNA
Rfam family: Eukaryotic small subunit ribosomal RNA
Source: RNAcentral
UAUACAGCGAAACUGCGAAUGGGUCAUUAUAUAAGUUAUCGUUUAUUUGAUAGUACCUUACUACUUGGAUAACCGUGGUAAUUCUAGAGCUAAUACAUGCUAAAAAUCCCGACUUACGAAGGGAUGUAUUUAUUAGAUUAAAAACCAAUGCCCUUCGGGGCUCACUGGUGAUUCAUAAUAACUUCUCGAAUCGCAUGGCCUUGCGCCGGCGAUGGUUCAUUCAAAUUUCUUCCCUAUCAACUUUCGAUGCUAGAGUAGUGUUCUAGCAUGGUUACAACGGGUAACGGAGGGUUAGGGCUCGACCCCGGAGAAGGAGCCUGAGAAACGGCUACUACAUCCAAGGAAGGCAGCAGGCGCGCAAAUUACCCAAUCCCGACACGGGGAGGUAGUGACGAUAAAUACUGAUACAGGGCUCUUUUGGGUCUUGUAAUUGGAAUGAGUACAAUUUAAAUCCCUUAACGAGGAACAAUUGGAGGGCAAGUCUGGUGCCAGCAGCCGCGGUAAUUCCAGCUCCAAUAGCGUAUAUUAAAGUUGUUGUGGUUAAAAAGCUCGUAGUAGAACUUUGGGCCUGGCUGGCCGGUCCGCCUCACCGCGUGCACUGGUCCGGCCGGGCCUUUCCCCCUGUGGAACCUCAUGCCCUUCACUGGGUGUGUGGGAAAACAGGACUUUUACUUUGAAAAAAUUAGAGUGCUCCAGGCAGGCCUAUGCUCGAAUACAUUAGCAUGGAAUAAUAGAAUAGGACGUGUGGUUCUAUUUUGUUGGUUUCUAGGACCGCCGUAAUGAUUAAUAGGGACAGUCGGGGGCAUCAGUAUUCAAUUGUCAGAGGUGAAAUUCUUGGAUUUAUUGAAGACUAACUACUGCGAAAGCAUUUGCCAAGGAUGUUUUCAUUUAUCAGGAACGAAAGUUAGGGGAUCGAAGACGAUCAGAUACCGUGGUAGUCUUACCCAUAAACUAUCCCGACUAGGGAUCGGACGAUGUUAUUUUUUGACUCGUUCGGCACCUUACGAGAAAUC